RNAcentral lists this ribosomal RNA (655 nucleotides) under uncultured bacterium. RNAcentral describes it as "bacterial SSU rRNA". It matches the Rfam family "Bacterial small subunit ribosomal RNA", at positions 54 to 703 of the family's 1533-position model. The record is from RNAcentral.
CAUGCAAGUCGAGGGGCAGCGAGGGAGUGGCAACACUUCCGUCGGCGACCGGCGCACGGGUGAGUAACGCGUAUGCAACCUGCCCUUCACAGGGGGAUAACCGGGAGAAAUUCCGACUAAUACCGCAUACGUCCUCCGGGGGCAUCCCCGGGGGAUGAAAGAAUUAUCGGUGAAGGAUGGGCAUGCGUGAUAUUAGGUAGUUGGCGGGGCAACGGCCCACCAAGCCCACGAUAUCUAGGGGUUCUGAGAGGAAGGUCCCCCACAUUGGUACUGAGACACGGACCAAACUCCUACGGGAGGCAGCAGUGAGGAAUAUUGGUCAAUGGACGAGAGUCUGAACCAGCCAAGUCGCGUGAAGGAAGACGGAUCUAUGGUUUGUAAACUUCUUUAGUGCGGGAACAAAGCGGCGUCGUGACGCCUGAUGAGUGUACCGCAAGAAUAAGCAUCGGCUAACUCCGUGCCAGCAGCCGCGGUAAUACGGAGGAUGCGAGCGUUAUCCGGAUUUAUUGGGUUUAAAGGGAGCGCAGGCUGCGAGGCAAGUCAGCGGUCAAAUGUCGGGGCUCAACCCCGGCCUGCCGUUGAAACUGUCCUGCUAGAGUUCGAGUGAGGUAUGCGGAAUGCGUUGUGUAGCGGUGAAAUGCAUAGAUAUGACGCA